GUGUGACGAGUGGCGGACGGGUGAGUAAUGUCUGGGAGACUGCCUGAUGGAGGGGGAUAACUACUGGCAAACGGUAGCUAAUACCGCAUAACGUCGCAAGACCAAAGAGGGGGACCUUCGGGCCUCUUGCCAUCAGAUGUGCCCAGAUGGGAUUAGCUAGUAGGUGGGGUAACGGCUCACCUAGGCGACGAUCCCUAGCUGGUCUGAGAGGAUGACCAGCCACACUGGAACUGAGACACGGUCCAGACUCCUACGGGAGGCAGCAGUGGGGAAUAUUGCACAAUGGGCGCAAGCCUGAUGCAGCCAUGCCGCGUGUAUGAAGAAGGCCUUCGGGUUGUAAAGUACUUUCAGCGGGGAGGAAGGCAGUACGGUUAAUAACCGUGUUGAUUGACGUUACCCGCAGAAGAAGCACCGGCUAACUCCGUGCCAGCAGCCGCGGUAAUACGGAGGGUGCAAGCGUUAAUCGGAAUUACUGGGCGUAAAGCGCACGCAGGCGGUCUGUCAAGUCGGAUGUGAAAUCCCCGGGCUCAACCUGGGAACUGCAUCCGAAACUGGCAGGCUUGAGUCUCGUAGAGGGAGGUAGAAUUCCAGGUGUAGCGGUGAAAUGCGUAGAGAUCUGGAGGAAUACCGGUGGCGAAGGCGGCCUCCUGGACGAAGACUGACGCUCAGGUGCGAAAGCGUGGCGGAGCAAACAGGAUUAGAUACCCUGGGAGUCCACGCCGUAAACAAUGUCUAUUUGGAGGGUGGUGCCCUUGAGGCGUGGCUUCCGGAGCUAACGCGUUAAAUAGACCG
Molecule: ribosomal RNA, 792 nt
Filed under: Kosakonia pseudosacchari
Lineage: Bacteria; Pseudomonadati; Pseudomonadota; Gammaproteobacteria; Enterobacterales; Enterobacteriaceae
Description: bacterial SSU rRNA
Rfam family: Bacterial small subunit ribosomal RNA
Source: RNAcentral